AUUUAUCUAAUAUAAAUAAGUAUAUUUGACUUCCAAUCAAAAAGUUUGUCAAAGACAAGAUAAAUA
Molecule: transfer RNA, 66 nt
Filed under: Macropanesthia sp. B115
Lineage: Eukaryota; Metazoa; Arthropoda; Insecta; Blattodea; Blaberidae
Description: tRNA-Gly
Source: RNAcentral